UGGGAUAAUACCAAAUUCCAUUACAUGUAAAACCACGUAGAAAACAAGAGACAUAAAAGGAGACAACAGAUUCUUUUUGCAUGGAUGAAAUCAUGAGCUUCUCCCUGGGACCUUCCACAACUCCUUUGAUCAAACCUCCAAGACCUCUCCCAUGAAUUGCAGCUUCUGAUCUGUUCAAACUCACUGUUGAUCUGAUGGCAGCUGAAAGGGCAAAUGAGAAAGACUGUGAAUCAAUGAUAUGACAAAUGGGUGCCUCAUGGCAUCUGAGCAACUGUUCUGCCCUUGAUCAAGUAUCCACUGCUCAAGAGAUGUCCAAAU
Long non-coding RNA from Athene cunicularia (burrowing owl), 318 nucleotides. RefSeq lists it as uncharacterized. The record is from RefSeq and is a predicted model, not a curated record. Lineage: Eukaryota; Metazoa; Chordata; Aves; Strigiformes; Strigidae. The transcript has 4 exons.